This 301-nucleotide ribosomal RNA is filed under the name uncultured bacterium. Its description in RNAcentral is "partial 16S ribosomal RNA". It matches the Rfam family "Bacterial small subunit ribosomal RNA", at positions 509 to 807 of the family's 1533-position model. The record is from RNAcentral.
CAGCCGCCACGGUAAUACGUAGGGUGCAAGCGUUAAUCGGAAUUACUGGGCGUAAAGCGUGCGCAGGCGGUUUGUUAAGACAGAUGUGAAAUCCCCGGGCUCAACCUGGGAACUGCAUUUGUGACUGGCAAGCUAGAGUGUGGCAGAGGGGGGUGGAAUUCCGCGUGUAGCAGUGAAAUGCGUAGAUAUGCGGAGGAACACCGAUGGCGAAGGCAGCCCCCUGGGCCAACACUGACGCUCAUGCACGAAAGCGUGGGGAGCAAACAGGAUUAGAUACCCCGGUAGUCCCUGUCUCUUAUAC